UACGUAGGGUGCAAGCGUUGUCCGGAAUUAUUGGGCGUAAAGAGCUCGUAGGCGGUCUGUCGCGUCUGCUGUGAAAACUCAGGGCUUAACCCUGAGCUUGCAGUGGGUACGGGCAGACUAGAGUGCGGUAGGGGGAGACUGGAAUUCCUGGUGUAGCGGUGAAAUGCGCAGAUAUCAGGAGGAACACCGGUGGCGAAGGCGGGUCUCUGGGCCGUAACUGACGCUG
Molecule: ribosomal RNA, 226 nt
Filed under: uncultured bacterium
Lineage: Bacteria
Description: partial 16S ribosomal RNA
Rfam family: Bacterial small subunit ribosomal RNA
Source: RNAcentral